UACCUUACAAAAAUAAAUUUAAAAAUUAAAUCUGAAUUAAAUCAAUAAUAAUAACAACAAAAAACAAAUUAAAUAUUAUAUUAAUCAAUUAAUUUAUAACAAAAAAAAAUUACUUUUUCUUUUCUAUUUUUUUUCCUUCUCUUUCUCCUUCCCUCUCUCUUUUCUCCUCCUCUUUUUUUCUUUCUUUUUCCCUUCCUUUCCCGCCCUCUCCUUCUCUUUUUUCUUCUUCUUCUCUUUUUUUUUUCUUUUCCUUCUCUUUCUUCCCCUUCACUCACCUGGCAAAAAUGAACAUUGGGGACCAUUAUAAGGUCCCC
RNAcentral lists this long non-coding RNA (314 nucleotides) under Gossypium raimondii (Peruvian cotton). RNAcentral's name for it is "long non-coding RNA (GRAI_LNC005409)". Lineage: Eukaryota; Viridiplantae; Streptophyta; Magnoliopsida; Malvales; Malvaceae. The record is from RNAcentral.